GAUCCCUACGGGGGGCAGCAGUGAGGAAUUUUGGUCAAUGGGCGAGAGCCUGAACCAGCCAAGUCGCGUGAAGGAUGACGGCCCUACGUGUUGUAAACUUCUUUUGUCAGGGAGCAAUUGAGUCCACGUGUGGUCUUAGCGAGAGUACCUGAAGAAAAAGCAUCGGCUAACUCCGUGCCAGCAGCCGCGGUAAUACGGAGGAUGCGAGCGUUAUCCGGAUUUAUUGGGUUUAUAGGGUGCGUAGGCGGAAUAUCAAGUCAGCGGUAAAAAUUCGGGGCUCAACCCCGUCG
Molecule: ribosomal RNA, 290 nt
Filed under: uncultured bacterium
Lineage: Bacteria
Description: partial 16S ribosomal RNA
Rfam family: Bacterial small subunit ribosomal RNA
Source: RNAcentral